GCACCUGAUCUUUCCCAUUCCUUGCUGCUCAGUGUGGGCCUGGGGACACAUGGUGCUUACAGAAAAGCUGAGUAAAUCCAGACAGGUGAUCUUUCAUUGAGUACUUGUCUCUACACCUCUGCAACACCU
Molecule: small nucleolar RNA, 129 nt
Organism: Anser brachyrhynchus (Pink-footed goose)
Lineage: Eukaryota; Metazoa; Chordata; Aves; Anseriformes; Anatidae
Source: Ensembl